This 494-nucleotide ribosomal RNA is filed under the name uncultured bacterium. RNAcentral describes it as "partial 16S ribosomal RNA". It matches the Rfam family "Bacterial small subunit ribosomal RNA", at positions 28 to 523 of the family's 1533-position model. The record is from RNAcentral.
GAUGAACGCUGGCGGCGUGCCUAAUACAUGCAAGUCGAACGCGAGAGGAGGGAGCUUGCUCCCUCUGAUCGAGUGGCGGACGGGUGAGUAACACGUAGGCAACCUGCCCAUCAGCCGGGGAUAACUGCGGGAAACCGUGGCUAAUACCGGAUAAUCCUCUCCACCGCGGGGUGGGGAGUUGAAAGACGGUUUCGGCUGUCGCUGGUUGAUGGGCCUGCGGCGCAUUAGCUAGUUGGUGAGGUAACGGCUCACCAAGGCGACGACGGGUAGCCGGCCUGAGAGGGUGACCGGCCACACUGGGACUGCGACACGGCCCAGACGCCUACGGGAGGCAGCAGUGGGGAAUAGUGCACAAUGGGCGCAAGCCUGAUGCAGCAACGCCGCGUGAGGGAUGACGGCCUUCGGGUUGUAAACCUCUUUUAGCAGGGAAGAAGCGAAAGUGACGGUACCUGCAGAAAAAGCACCGGCUAACUACGUGCCAGCAGCCGCGGUAA